GGCCUGGGCUCCUCCUUGGCUUGACCCAGCUUAGACUUUCUCAAACCGAAGUCAUUCUCGCUGGCUCCUGGCGACUCUCAUCCUGUCCGCUGUCACCCUUUCGUGAUUGACCUGAAAUCACUUCGUCACUGCAGCCGCACCCUAAGCAUUCAUCUCAUAUCUGUGAUGUUUGCUGUGCUCCUUAUGUUUGCUCUAAUAUGGGUUAAACCAAAUUCAACACCAUCAAAAUAAUGUUCUUCCAUUUGCACACCCACUUUCACAGUAGCAGCGUUCCCAACAGCCAAAAGGUGGGAGCAGCCCACGGGUCCACGGACGGGUGAAGGGGUGAGCAAACAGUCUAUACGGACAGUGGAGAGCUCUUUAACCGCAGAAAGAAGGAAAUUCUGCAUAUGCUGCAACAUGGAUGAAAGGCGUGAACUGUACACUUAAGCAUGGUUUAAACGGCACAGAGUCUGGCUCUGGGGCCCAGGCUUGAGUGCAGUGGUGAGACGGGAGAAUAAGUCCUAGAGGAAGGGAACCUGAGGACUUCCCAGAACUAAAUCAGAUGGAGAGGAGAGAGGAGGCAUUUCAGCUACGACAGGAAAUAUCCUCUUCAUUUGCAUAGGGCGUUCACCAAGU
RNAcentral lists this long non-coding RNA (618 nucleotides) under Homo sapiens (human). RNAcentral describes it as "HSALNT0216314". Lineage: Eukaryota; Metazoa; Chordata; Mammalia; Primates; Hominidae. The record is from RNAcentral.